GAUGAACGCUAGCUACAGGCUUAACACAUGCAAGUCGAGGGGAAACGAUAUUGGAAGCUUGCUUCUGAUAGGCGUCGACCGGCGCACGGGUGAGUAACGCGUAUCCAACCUGCCCAUCACUUGGGGAUAACCUUGUGAAAGUAAGACUAAUACCCAAUGACGUCUCUAGAAGACAUCUGAAAGAGAUUAAAGAUUUAUCGGUGAUGGAUGGGGAUGCGUCUGAUUAGCUUGUUGGCGGGGUAACGGCCCACCAAGGCGACGAUCAGUAGGGGUUCUGAGAGGAAGGUCCCCCACAUUGGAACUGAGACACGGGUCCAAACUCCUACGGGAGGCAGCAGUGAGGAAUAUUGGGUCAAUGGACGAGAGUCUGAACCAGCCAAGUAGCGUGCAGGAUGACGGCCCUAUGGGUUGUAAACUGCUUUUAUAAGGGAUAAAGUGAGUCUCGUGAGACUUUUUGCAUGUACCUUAUGAAUAAGGACCGGCUAAUUCCGUGCCAG
RNAcentral lists this ribosomal RNA (497 nucleotides) under uncultured bacterium. RNAcentral describes it as "bacterial SSU rRNA". It matches the Rfam family "Bacterial small subunit ribosomal RNA", at positions 28 to 511 of the family's 1533-position model. The record is from RNAcentral.